UGGGGCGUGGCCAAGUGGUAAGGCACCGGUUUUUGGUAUCGGCAUUCGCAGGUUCGAAUCCUGCCGCCCCAGCCA
This 75-nucleotide transfer RNA is filed under the name Rhodospirillaceae bacterium. Its description in RNAcentral is "tRNA-Gln". It matches the Rfam family "tRNA". Rfam says of the family: Transfer RNA (tRNA) molecules are approximately 80 nucleotides in length. Lineage: Bacteria; Pseudomonadati; Pseudomonadota; Alphaproteobacteria; Rhodospirillales; Rhodospirillaceae. RNAcentral also lists the same sequence under 5 other names. The record is from RNAcentral.